CGUGUAGGCGGUUUGUCAAGCCUGAUGUGAAAGACCCCGGCUUAACCGGGGGAGCGCGUUGGGAACUGACAGACUAGAGUAUAGGAGGGGUAGUUGAAUUCCAGGUGUAGGGGUGAAAUCUGUAGAUAUCUGGGAGAACACCGGUGGCGAAGGCGAACUACUGGCCAUAUACUGACGCUGAGGCGCGAAAGUGUGGGGAGCGAACA
Molecule: ribosomal RNA, 206 nt
Filed under: uncultured bacterium
Lineage: Bacteria
Description: partial 16S ribosomal RNA
Rfam family: Bacterial small subunit ribosomal RNA
Source: RNAcentral